RNAcentral lists this ribosomal RNA (253 nucleotides) under uncultured bacterium. RNAcentral describes it as "partial 16S ribosomal RNA". It matches the Rfam family "Bacterial small subunit ribosomal RNA", at positions 524 to 776 of the family's 1533-position model. The record is from RNAcentral.
UACGUAGGGGGCAAGCGUUGUCCGGAAUCAUUGGGCGUAAAGCGCGUGUAGGCGGCUCGAUAAGUCUGCUGUGAAAGUCCAGGGCUCAACCCUGGGAUGCCGGUGGAUACUGUCGAGCUCGAGUCCGGAAGAGGCGAGUGGAAUUCCUGGUGUAGCGGUGAAAUGCGCAGAUAUCAGGAGGAACACCAAUGGCGAAGGCAGCUCGCUGGGACGGUACUGACGGUGAGACGCGAAAGCGUGGGGAGCAAACAGG